CAAUGUUCCUCUAUUGCCUGAUUGCAACUGGUGGAUAGUGUUCAGUUUUCAGAGUCAAUCUAAGCACCAGUUGAAAUCAGAGCUGUAGGGGAAUAUCCUCAU
RNAcentral lists this microRNA precursor (102 nucleotides) under Lytechinus variegatus (green sea urchin). Its description in RNAcentral is "microRNA lva-mir-29a precursor". Its record names the gene lva-mir-29a. The record is from miRBase by way of RNAcentral. Lineage: Eukaryota; Metazoa; Echinodermata; Echinoidea; Temnopleuroida; Toxopneustidae.